Molecule: ribosomal RNA, 492 nt
Filed under: uncultured bacterium
Lineage: Bacteria
Description: partial 16S ribosomal RNA
Rfam family: Bacterial small subunit ribosomal RNA
Source: RNAcentral
AGUGAACGCUGGCGGUAGGCCUAACACAUGCAAGUCGAACGGCAGCACAGUAAGAGCUUGCUCUUACGGGUGGCGAGUGGCGGACGGGUGAGGAAUACAUCGGAAUCUACUUUUUCGUGGGGGAUAACGUAGGGAAACUUACGCUAAUACCGCAUACGACCUACGGGUGAAAGCAGGGGAUCUUCGGACCUUGCGCGAUUGAAUGAGCCGAUGUCGGAUUAGCUAGUUGGCGGGGUAAAGGCCCACCAAGGCGACGAUCCGUAGCUGGUCUGAGAGGAUGAUCAGCCACACUGGAACUGAGACACGGUCCAGACUCCUACGGGAGGCAGCAGUGGGGAAUAUUGGACACUGGGCGCAAGCCUGCUCCAGCCAUCCCGCGUGGGUGAAGAAGGCCUUCGGGUUGUAAAGCCCUUUUGUUGGGAACGAAAAGCAGCAGGUUAAUACCCCGCUGUUCUGACGGUACCCAAAGAAUAAGCACCGGCUAACUUCGUG